RNAcentral lists this ribosomal RNA (440 nucleotides) under uncultured bacterium. RNAcentral describes it as "partial 16S ribosomal RNA". It matches the Rfam family "Bacterial small subunit ribosomal RNA", at positions 338 to 795 of the family's 1533-position model. The record is from RNAcentral.
CCUACGGGUGGCAGCAGUGGGGAAUAUUGCACAAUGGGGGAGACCCUGAUGCAGCGACGCCGCGUGAGUGAAGACGUAUCUCGGUACGUAAAGCUCUAUCAGCAGGGAAGAAAAUGACGGUACCUGACUAAGCAGCCCCGGCCAACUGCGUGCCAGCAGCCGCGGGCAUACGUAGGGGGCAAGCGUUAUCCGGAUUUAAUGGGUGUAAAGGGGGCGUAGACGGCAGCACAAGUCUGGAGGGAAAUCCCGGGGCUUAACCCCGGAACUGCGGUGGAAACUGUGCUGCUUGAGUGCAGGAGGGGUAAGCGGAAUGCGUAGUGUAGCGGUGAAAUGCGUAGAUAUCAGGAGGAACACCGGUGGCGAAGGCGGCUUACUGGACCGUAACUGACGCUGAGGCUCGAAAGCGUGGGGAGCAAACAGGAUUAGAUACCCUUGUAGUC